CCUCCCCCUAGAGGCAUUGCAGGUGUGGCUGCUGUGUCACACAAGUGUGUCAGAAGGUGGCAGAGAGGAGAGAGGCUGUGCUCAGUGUUCUGACUUAUACACAUUUGAAUAAUUAGUAGCCUAACCCG
Small nucleolar RNA from Meriones unguiculatus (Mongolian gerbil), 128 nucleotides. NCBI's taxonomy places the organism in Eukaryota, Metazoa, Chordata, Mammalia, Rodentia, Muridae. The record is from Ensembl.